This 468-nucleotide ribosomal RNA is filed under the name uncultured bacterium. RNAcentral's name for it is "partial 16S ribosomal RNA". It matches the Rfam family "Bacterial small subunit ribosomal RNA", at positions 28 to 507 of the family's 1533-position model. The record is from RNAcentral.
GACGAACGCUGGCGGCGUGCUUAACACAUGCAAGUCGAACGGAAAGGCCCUGCUUUUGUGGGGUGCUCGAGUGGCGAACGGGUGAGUAACACGUGAGUAACCUGCCCUUGACUUUGGGAUAACUCCAGGAAACUGGGGCUAAUACCGGAUAGGAGCUCCUGCUGCAUGGGGGGGGUUGGAAAGUUUCGGCGGUUGGGGAUGGACUCGCGGCUUAUCAGCUUGUUGGGGGGGUAGUGGCUUACCAAGGCUUUGACGGGUAGCCGGCCUGGGAGGGUGACCGGCCACAUUGGGCCUGCGAGACGGCCCAGUCUCCUAUGGGAGGCAGUAGUGGGGAUUCUUGCACAAUGGGCGGAAGCCUGAUGCAGCAGCGCCGCGUGCGGGAUGACGUCCUUCGGGUUAUGAACCGCUUUCGCCUGUGACGAAGCGUGAGUGACGGUAAUGGGUAAAGAAGCACCGGCUAACUACGUG